GCCCGGGUGGCGGAAUUGGUAGACGCAAGGGACUUAAAAUCCCUCGGCCGCAAGGCUGUACCGGUUCGAUUCCGGUCCCGGGCACCA
Molecule: transfer RNA, 87 nt
Filed under: Geobacter sp.
Lineage: Bacteria; Pseudomonadati; Thermodesulfobacteriota; Desulfuromonadia; Geobacterales; Geobacteraceae
Description: tRNA-Leu
Rfam family: tRNA
About the family: Transfer RNA (tRNA) molecules are approximately 80 nucleotides in length. Their secondary structure includes four short double-helical elements and three loops (D, anti-codon, and T loops).
Source: RNAcentral